CGCGUAGGUGGUUCAUUAAGUGGGAUGUGAAAGCCCCGGGCUUAACCUGGGAAUUGCAUUUCAAACUGACGAACUAGAGUACGAUAGAGGGGGGUAGAAUUCAGAGUGUAGCGGUGAAAUGCGUAGAUAUUCUGAGGAAUACCAGUGGCGAAGGCGGCCCCCUGGAUUGAUACUGACACUGAGGCGCGAAAGCGUGGGGAGCAAACA
This 207-nucleotide ribosomal RNA is filed under the name uncultured bacterium. Its description in RNAcentral is "partial 16S ribosomal RNA". It matches the Rfam family "Bacterial small subunit ribosomal RNA", at positions 568 to 774 of the family's 1533-position model. The record is from RNAcentral.